This 292-nucleotide ribosomal RNA is filed under the name uncultured Bacteroidota bacterium. Its description in RNAcentral is "uncultured Bacteroidetes bacterium partial 16S ribosomal RNA". The record is from RNAcentral. Lineage: Bacteria; Pseudomonadati; Bacteroidota.
GGACUACAGGGGUAUCUAAUCCUGUUUGAUCCCCACGCUUUCGUGCCUCAGCGUCAGAUGUAAUCUAGUGAGCUGCCUACGCAAUCGAGGUUCUGAGUAAUAUCUAAGCAUUUCACCGCUACACUACUCAUUCCGCCCACUUCGUCUAAUCUCAAGAACAUCAGUUUCAACGGCAAUUUUAAAGUUAAGCUUCAAACUUUCACCGCUGACUUAAUAUCCCGCCUACGCACCCUUUAAACCCAAUAAAUCCGGAUAACGCUCGGAUCCUCCGUAUUACCGCGGCUGCUGGCAC